Molecule: ribosomal RNA, 1472 nt
Filed under: Staphylococcus haemolyticus
Lineage: Bacteria; Bacillati; Bacillota; Bacilli; Caryophanales; Staphylococcaceae
Description: bacterial SSU rRNA
Rfam family: Bacterial small subunit ribosomal RNA
Source: RNAcentral
GAUGAACGCUGGCGGCGUGCCUAAUACAUGCAAGUCGAGCGAACAGACAAGGAGCUUGCUCCUUUGACGUUAGCGGCGGACGGGUGAGUAACACGUGGGUAACCUACCUAUAAGACUGGGAUAACUUCGGGAAACCGGAGCUAAUACCGGAUAAUAUUUCGAACCGCAUGGUUCGAUAGUGAAAGAUGGUUUUGCUAUCACUUAUAGAUGGACCCGCGCCGUAUUAGCUAGUUGGUAAGGUAACGGCUUACCAAGGCGACGAUACGUAGCCGACCUGAGAGGGUGAUCGGCCACACUGGAACUGAGACACGGUCCAGACUCCUACGGGAGGCAGCAGUAGGGAAUCUUCCGCAAUGGGCGAAAGCCUGACGGAGCAACGCCGCGUGAGUGAUGAAGGUCUUCGGAUCGUAAAACUCUGUUAUUAGGGAAGAACAUACGUGUAAGUAACUAUGCACGUCUUGACGGUACCUAAUCAGAAAGCCACGGCUAACUACGUGCCAGCAGCCGCGGUAAUACGUAGGUGGCAAGCGUUAUCCGGAAUUAUUGGGCGUAAAGCGCGCGUAGGCGGUUUUUUAAGUCUGAUGUGAAAGCCCACGGCUCAACCGUGGAGGGUCAUUGGAAACUGUAAAACUUGAGUGCAGAAGAGGAAAGUGGAAUUCCAUGUGUAGCGGUGAAAUGCGCAGAGAUAUGGAGGAACACCAGUGGCGAAGGCGACUUUCUGGUCUGUAACUGACGCUGAUGUGCGAAAGCGUGGGGAUCAAACAGGAUUAGAUACCCUGGUAGUCCACGCCGUAAACGAUGAGUGCUAAGUGUUAGGGGGUUUCCGCCCCUUAGUGCUGCAGCUAACGCAUUAAGCACUCCGCCUGGGGAGUACGACCGCAAGGUUGAAACUCAAAGGAAUUGACGGGGACCCGCACAAGCGGUGGAGCAUGUGGUUUAAUUCGAAGCAACGCGAAGAACCUUACCAAAUCUUGACAUCCUUUGACAACUCUAGAGAUAGAGCCUUCCCCUUCGGGGGACAAAGUGACAGGUGGUGCAUGGUUGUCGUCAGCUCGUGUCGUGAGAUGUUGGGUUAAGUCCCGCAACGAGCGCAACCCUUAAGCUUAGUUGCCAUCAUUAAGUUGGGCACUCUAAGUUGACUGCCGGUGACAAACCGGAGGAAGGUGGGGAUGACGUCAAAUCAUCAUGCCCCUUAUGAUUUGGGCUACACACGUGCUACAAUGGACAAUACAAAGGGCAGCGAAACCGCGAGGUCAAGCAAAUCCCAUAAAGUUGUUCUCAGUUCGGAUUGUAGUCUGCAACUCGACUACAUGAAGCUGGAAUCGCUAGUAAUCGUAGAUCAGCAUGCUACGGUGAAUACGUUCCCGGGUCUUGUACACACCGCCCGUCACACCACGAGAGUUUGUAACACCCGAAGCCGGUGGAGUAACCAUUUGGAGCUAGCCGUCGAAGGUGGGACAAAUGAUUGGGGU